UACGGAGGGUGCUAGCGUUGUUCGGAAUCACUGGGCGUAAAGCGCGUGUAGGCGGCCCAUCAAGUCUGAUGUGAAAGCCCGGGGCUCACCCCCGGAAGUGCAUUGGAAACUGUUGGGCUGGAGUCCCGGAGAGGAGGGUGGAAUUCCUGGUGUAGCGGUGAAAUGCGUAGAUAUCAGGAGGAACACCGGUGGCGAAGGCGGCCCUCUGGACGGUGACUGACGCUGAGACGCGAAAGCGUGGGGAGCAAACAGG
RNAcentral lists this ribosomal RNA (253 nucleotides) under uncultured bacterium. RNAcentral's name for it is "partial 16S ribosomal RNA". It matches the Rfam family "Bacterial small subunit ribosomal RNA", at positions 524 to 776 of the family's 1533-position model. The record is from RNAcentral.